This is a non-coding RNA of Kogia breviceps (pygmy sperm whale), 3000 nucleotides long. The record is from RefSeq and is a predicted model, not a curated record. NCBI's taxonomy places the organism in Eukaryota, Metazoa, Chordata, Mammalia, Artiodactyla, Physeteridae.
UGAUUUUAUACAUGCAGAAUCUGACCACUUCCCACCAUCUUCAAGACAAUAACCUUUGCCUAAGUCCCAUCGUCUCUCUCACCUGCAUCCUUGUGACAGCCUCACAUUGGUCUCCCUGCUGCUACCCUUCCUCCUUCCCAUCUCUUCUCCAGCCAGAGAGGCCCUUCAAAAAUGUAAAUCAGGGCUUCCCUGGUGGGACAGUGGUUAAGAAUCCGCCUGACAAUGCAGGGAACACAGGUUCGAGCCCUGCUUGGGAAAGAUCCCACAUGCUGCGUAGCAACCAAGCCCAUGUGCCACGACUACUGAGCCUGUGCUCUAGAGCCUGCGAGCCACAACUACUGAGCCCUGGUGCCACAACUACCGAAGCCUGCGUGCCUAGAGCCCGUGCUCCGCAAUGAGAAGCCCGCGCACUGCAAUGAACAACAGCUCCCGCUCGCCGCAAAUAGAGAAAGCCCGCGUGCAGCAACGAACGCCCAAUGCAGCCAAAAGAAAAAAAAAAUUAACCAAAACUUCAAAAAAAAAAAAAAGUAAAUCAGACCAUGAUCCUCCUCUGUUCAGACCCAACAAGGCUUCCCAUAUCUCUCCAAAUAAAAGCCAAGUCUUGACCUUACACUGCCCUCCAGGCUGCAGGCUGGGUCACGUCACCUGCUCUCAUCUACUCUGUUCCCUGCCUUACUUCUGCCACUCCAGCCACACUGACCUCCUUGCUAUUUUUCCAACACUCACUCCAGCUUCAGAACCUUAGCACAUGCCGUUUCCUCUGCUGGGAAAGCGCUGCCUCCAGACCUCUGGAUGAGUAUGCCCCUCAGCCCUCCAUAGUAGCUCUUCAGAGAGGCCUUCCUGAGCUCAUCUAAACCAGAACUACUCCCCAUCUACACCCACCACGCCCUUUAUUUUUCUUUAAAGCACUUAAUUAACACCUCCCACAGUACAUUUGCUUAUUAUGUCUUCUACUUUAUCCGAAUGCAAAUUCCUUGAGCACAAAGACUUUGUCUGAUCCUCUGCUGAAUCCCUAGGACCUAGCACAGAGCCUGGCACGCAGUGGGUCAAUAAAAAACCUGCUGAAUGAAAGCAUGUUGAAUUAAGCAACCACCCGAGAGAACUGUAAGCUUCAUGUGGGCUUUCUGUUUCUUGGGUGAUCCCCCCUCCCUGAAAGCUCCUGGCAGUGGCAGACCCAUGGCUGCAGCCUAAUGGGGAUAAAGGUGGCUAACCAUUUCUCCAUCCGAAGCCUCCACAGCACACAGCAUAAAGUGUAUCCUGUGAACUGGAGGAGCAGAGCAUGCUGGCUAACAGCACUGACUUUUGGAAGUCAAAUCUAGGCUGACCACUACUGGCUGUGUGGUCCUGGGGAAACUGAGAAUUUUCUGAGCGUUAAUUCUGCCCUGUGGGACUUCCCUGGUGGCUCAGUGGUUAAGAAUCCUCCUGCCAAUGCAGGGGACACAGAUUUGAUCCCUGGUCCGGGGAAGAUCCCACAUGCCGCAAAGCAACUAAGCGCAUGCGCCACAACUAUUGAAGCUCGCGCACCCUAGAGCCCGCUCGCUGCAACUACUGAGCCCACGUGCUGCAACUACUGAAGCCUGCGCACCUAGAGCCUGUGCUCCUCAACAAGAGAAGCCACCACAAUUAGAAGCCUGCACACCGCAAUGAAGGUAACUCCCACUCGCUGCAACUAGAGAAAGCCCGCACACAGCAACGAAGACCCAACGUAGCCAAAAAUAAUUAAAAAAAAAAAAUUCUGCCCUGUGCGGAAGUUCCUACUUCCCAGGGCUGAGGGUGGGGACAGGAGAAUGUCCACAAAGCACUUAGCAAGCACAGUGCCUGGCGCAAAGGAGGCAUGCAACGAGAGGCAGUCAAAUUAUCAGCAGCCAUGUAUUUGCCUUUGUCUCUUUCACGUUUACAACGGGCUCUUAUACAUGCUUUAUCUGAUUGGGGCUGUUCAGCAACGCCGGCAGUUUUAUCACCAUUUUAUAGGUGAGGAAAGUGGGUCAAAGGAAUAAAGUACUCACCUACAAAACACACUGAAUCUGACUACAACUCCAGCGCCCUCACCUCCAGAGACACAAGGAUUUGGCCGGCCCAUUAGAGCCCCAGACUCUAAGGUGUGUGCCUAGUGUGGGGCAGCAAAUGCCAUCAGGCAGAAAGCCACAUGCCCCCAACCGCUGGAUGGAGGAAGGGGCUCCCACGUCCCACAGUGAGGCUCGUGAACAAGUCUGAACAGAUAAACCAUCUCUCAGAGUCCACCCAGGAUUUAAAACAUUUCCCCCAGAGGGAAAAUUCAAAUGCCCUUUCUGUACAGUUUCUCCUGCUAAGAGUUGGGUGGCAGCUCUAAGCAGCGAAUGCCACCUUUGGUGUUUGAGAUCCUUGUUGCCCUGCAGCCUCUGAUUCAGUCUGCCACGAAAGCAAAGCAUCUCUUCCCAAACGUUACCCAAGGGACACCGCUGCAUGGAGCUCUGGGCCUGGCUCUCAUCAAUCUCCUCUACCUUACCAGGAUUGACUGUGGGCUUCUGAGGGAGGCCAGAUGGUGGGGAAGUAAUCGGCAGGUCCCAGACAUGAAUUUUAGAACCACAAGGCCAAAAAAUCAGACUCUCAGGAGUCAUGGAUUUUUACAACUACAGCAUCUGAGAGACAAAGAAACUUAUGACUGUAACACCUUAAGCCUCAUGGGCUUGGCUGAGAUUAUACUGGAUGAGAUGGGCAAAAAAACCUGGGAAUCCAAUGGCUCCAAUGGGUACUGAGCAUCUUUGAUCUGGUCAGAGGCUUGUGAACACUCCCUUGUGAGAAUACAGUCUGAGGGCUCCAGCUGCAGGAGGAAGGCUGGGAGGACAGGCUUUGGAUAGCAAAGGCAAAAUUCUACAACCAGGCCCCUUGGGACAUGAGAUCAGAAGAGGAGACUUCAGAAGGAUCCUGCCAGGCCAGCAAGUCCUGGCCCUGGUGAGGUGUUAUGAAACCCUGAUGGUGCCAGGUUUGUGGCAGGCCACCAACUACCAAGAGACUGUGAGA